RNAcentral lists this long non-coding RNA (503 nucleotides) under Phoenix dactylifera (date palm). RNAcentral's name for it is "long non-coding RNA (PDAC_LNC008495)". The record is from RNAcentral. Lineage: Eukaryota; Viridiplantae; Streptophyta; Magnoliopsida; Arecales; Arecaceae.
GGGCAGAUUGUAUAGUGGAGAAAGAGUUUUUCACUCUCGAGCUUAAGUCGAAUAAAUCUUGAUAUAUGACAGACGAUGGGGUUUGACGAGUUGUCCAUGACCUCCGUCUUGUAGGGAUCCACGAUAGUAGGACUGUAUCACAUGAUAACUGUACCUAGAGGUUCAUCAUUCCAUUCUGCUGGAUAGCCACUACAUGCUGCUAGGUGUCACUGGUGGAUGGUGAGACUCACAGGGAUUAUUUCGAUGAUCGAUAAACCCUAAUGAGUAGAGUUGGAAUCGUUCCGACCCAUUGAAAGGAGUUUUCAAUGAUAUUGUGAUAGAGAUCACAAUAUAUCUCACUACCAGUCAGAAUAGAACCUAUGGGGUCACACACACUAGAAGUAUUGACCGAUCUGAUGGUUGAAAAGUGAUUAUGAAUCACGAGUAAUCAAUUCGAUUGAUAAUAAAUUGAAGAAGGAACAAUGGGAAUUAAUUAAUUGGACUUAAACAUGAAACCUACUUGG